GCGCGUCCUGUAUCUAUGGAGACGGCAAUAUGGAGGCGAUCUUACAUUUCUUUGAUUUCAUCUGAACGUGCAGUUCACAAUUGGAGAGGCAAGAGUGUUCAGAAGAAACAAGCAGAGAGUAAAAGCCAGAUAAAGCUCCAUACUCAGAGUGCUCCCUUUGGACUGUGUCCCAAGGGCCUGAUGCUCACCCAGGCUCCAAGCUCCAUCGUGAGGUCCAGGAACAGCAGGAACCACACCAUGAACUCUGGUGGAUCCUGCCUGAGUGCCAGCACAGUGGCCAUCCCUGCCAUCAACGACAGCAGUGCAGCCAUGAGUGCCUGCAGCACCAUCAGCGCCCAGCCUGCAAGCUCCAUGGACACUCAGAUGCACUCCCCAAAGAAGCAGGAGAGAGUGAACAAGAGGGUCAUCUGGGGCAUUGAGGUGGCUGAGGAGCUGCAUUGGAAAGGCUGGGAGCUAGGAAAGGAGACCACAAGGAAUCUGGUUCUGAAAAAUCGAUCCUUGAAACUCCAGAAGAUGAAGUACAGGCCCCCCAAGACCAAGUUCUUCUUCACGGUCAUCCCUCAGCCCAUCUUCCUGAGCCCAGGCAUAACCCUCACGCUCCCCAUCGUCUUCCGGCCUCUGGAGGCGGGACCUGCCCACCUUCUUCACCUGGGAGUUCUCCAGCCCAUUCCAGAUGCUGCCCGCCACGGGGCUCCUGGAGCCAGGCCAGGCCUCUCAGAUCAAGGUGACCUUUCAGCCCCUUACAGCCGUCAUCUACGAGGUGCAGGCCACGUGCUGGUACGGGGCAGGCAGCCGGCAGAGGAGCAGCAUCCAGCUGCAGGCUGUGGCCAAGUGCGCCCAGCUGCUGGUGAGCAUAAAGCACAAGUGCCCGGAGGACCAGGAUGCCGAGGGCUUCCAGAAGCUGUUGUACUUUGGCUCUGUUGCUGUGGGCUGCACCUUGGAGAGGCAGAUCAGGCUACACAACCCGUCGGCGGUAAAUGCCCCCUUCAGGAUUGAAAUUUCCUCAGAUGAACUGGCCGAAGACCAGGCCUUCUCAUGCCCCACGGCCCAUGGCAUCGUGCUUCCGGGAGAGAAGAAAUGUGUGUCAGUGUUCUUCCACCCCAAGACUCUGGACACCAGAACUGUGGACUACUGCUCCAUCAUGCCUUCUGGCUGUGCCUCCAAGACCCUGCUUAAAGUCGUUGGUUUCUGUAGAGGUACUGGUGACCCCAGGGGCCUCCCCUGGGGACAGGAGCAGCCCCUGCUGAGGAUUCUGAAGAGCUCCUUCCCUGCUCCUAGGAGGCGGGGCCACCUUGCCUCAGCCUGGGUGUCUGCUGCCCCCUGGUGGCCCUAUGGGGAAUCAUCUGUGACUACCUGGAGAUCCCAGUCCCACCGGCAUCCAGUGAUGCUGGAGUUCUGCUCAGGCUGCCAGGGCUCUGGGCCUGUAGCCUGGCCCUGAGAGUACCACCUCCCUUCAGUGGGACUUUGUCUAAGACAUCCUUGGGGAAGCUGAUACCCCAUAUCCUGUGUCCAGGCCCUGCCGUGUCCCUGCAGCACUACUGUGUCAACUUUAGCUGGGUCAACCUUGGGGAGCGCUCCGAGCAGCCCCUGUGGAUUGAGAACCAAUCAGACUGCACGGCCCACUUCCAGUUUGCCAUCGACUGCUUGGAGAGUGUCUUUAGCAUCAGGCCUGCCUUUGGGACCCUGGUGGGCAAGGCCCGUAUGACCCUCCACUGUGCCUUCCAGCCCACUCACCCCAUCAUCUGCUUUCGGCGUGUGGCCUGUCUUAUCCACCACCAGGACCCGCUGUUCCUGGACCUGAUGGGGACCUGCCACUCGGACAGCACCAAGCCAGCCAUCCUGAAGCCUCAGCACCUCACCUGGUACCGCACACACCUGGCCCGGGGCCUGACGCUCUACCCCCCUGACAUCCUGGAUGCCAUGCUGAAGGAGAAGAAGCUGGCACAGGACCAGAACGGGGCUCUCAUGAUUCCCAUCCAGGAUCUGGAGGACAUGCCAGCCCCGCAGUACCCUUAUAUCCCUCCCAUGACCGAGUUCUUCUUCGACGGCACCAGCGACAUAACCAUCUUCCCCCCGCCCGUCAGUAUAGAGCCUGUCGAGGUAGACUUCGGUGCCUGCCCAGGGCCUGAGGCCCCCAACCCUGUACCCCUGUGCCUGAUGAACCACACCAAGGGCAAGAUCAUGGUGGUCUGGACGCGAAGGUCUGACUGCCCCUUCUGGGUGACUCCAGAGAGCUGCGACGUGCCCCCACUCAAGUCCAUGGCCAUGCGCCUGCACUUCCAGCCGCCUCACCCCAACUGCCUUUACGCGGUGGAGCUCGAAGCCUUCGCCAUCUAUAAGGUGUGUGCACGCAAUGAGAGGGAGGAAUGCGGGGUCUCUGCUAGGAGCCUGAGUGGCUGGGUGGGGUGGCAGGAAGUGACCGAGGGCAGCUUCAGGCUCCAUCCUCUGCGUGCCAGGCUUUCUCUUGGCUGGACAGUGACCCCUAUGGGUUUGUCUCCUCCAAAGCUCCUGGCCUAGCUCGGCCCAUCUGAUUUUCUCAUUCUUAUGUAAGUCUCCCCUCCCCUCUAAGGGAGAACUCAGCUGAGAUCAAGCUGUUUGGGAAAAUUGGGUGCACAGGGAGAUUCUCCCUGGGGCUCCUGGCUAGGAGGCCUCCUAGCUUCUCUACUAGUCCUUGAAUUAAGAAGUGGUCACUCUAAAGGAGCUUUGAGCGGGCAGGAAGCUGGGCCUAGAGACAAAGUCAGCAGCACCAGAUAAUUGUGAUGGAAAGGGCUUCUGACUCAGCUUCCCUGGGUCGGGAACUCCGAGUGCCGGCUGUCCCCAGCCCUGCUGUUCUGGCCCCAGAUGCAUGGUGCCCCCUCCUCAUCCUUUAGUCCUGCCCAUCCCUUCCUUCUUGACUCUGCCCACCCCACUGCCCUUGCCCAGAGGCCAAGGUCUUGGGACCCAGAGAAAAGUAGGGCUGUGCGGUCAAGAUCAGGGUCACUUACCAGCUAUGUGACCUUGGGCAAGUUCCUUAAUGUCUCUGAGUCCUGAUCUUUUCAUCUGUAAACUUGGGACCACGUCCGAUCUUUUGAGGAGGCUUUCCAAAGUGGAGGCUUUAGUUGCCCCCGUCCUAAUGCCUUGGCAGUGGGGUGAUGUCGAGGUUUGUAGGAAUAAGGUUGUAGAUGCCUGGCUCUGCUGAGGCUGAGCCUGUCAGAUAUUUAGGUUACAGGCUGUAGACCUGCACAGUCCAGUACAGCCACUGACAGCCACACGUGGCUACUGAGCUUUUAAUAUGUGGCUGGUCCCAAUUGAGACGUGCCGUGAGUGUAAAAUGCACCCUGGAUUUCAAAGACUUAGUAUGAAAAGAAUGUAAAAUAUCUCGUUACUAAUUUUAUAUUGGUUAUAUGUUAAAGUGAUAAGAUUUUAGAUCUAUUGGGUUAAAUAAAAUAUACUAUUAACAUUAA
Molecule: small RNA, 3443 nt
Filed under: Pan troglodytes (chimpanzee)
Lineage: Eukaryota; Metazoa; Chordata; Mammalia; Primates; Hominidae
Description: retained intron
Source: RNAcentral